CUACGGGCCGCACCAGUGAGGAAUAUUGGUCAAUGGGCGCAAGCCUGAACCAGCCAAGUCGCGUGCAGGAAGACUGCCCUAUGGGUUGUAAACUGCUUUUGUAUGGGAGUAAAGUGCUCUACGUGUAGAGUUUUGCAAGUAUCAUACGAAUAAGGAUCGGCUAACUCCGUGCCAGCAGCCGCGGUAAUACGGAGGAUCCAAGCGUUAUCCGGAUUUAUUGGGUUUAAAGGGUGCGUAGGCGGGAUAUUAAGUCAGUGGUGAAAGUUUGCAGCUCAACUGUAAAAUUGCCAUUGAAACUGAUAUUCUUGAGUACAAAUGAGGUAGGCGGAAUGUGUUGUGUAGCGGUGAAAUGCAUAGAUAUAACACAGAACACCGAUUGCGAAGGCAGCUUACUGGGAUGUAACUGACGCUGAGGCACGAAAGCGUGGGGAUCAAACAGGAUUAGAUACCCCUGUAGUC
Molecule: ribosomal RNA, 459 nt
Filed under: uncultured bacterium
Lineage: Bacteria
Description: partial 16S ribosomal RNA
Rfam family: Bacterial small subunit ribosomal RNA
Source: RNAcentral